Molecule: small nucleolar RNA, 215 nt
Organism: Chiloscyllium plagiosum (whitespotted bambooshark)
Lineage: Eukaryota; Metazoa; Chordata; Chondrichthyes; Orectolobiformes; Hemiscylliidae
Product: small nucleolar RNA SNORA73 family
Source: RefSeq, a predicted model, not a curated record
CCAAUGUGGGCAUCCAGCAAGGUUGCUCUUGUCUGGCUCUGUCCGUGUGGCGCAUGGGAGUGUAGACAUUCAGUCCAUGACGCACAGUCCCGUUCCACGACAUUGGAGAGAAAGCAUGUCCCUGGCUUGCAGCUGGCGUGGACAGCAUCCUGCAUAUUCCUAGAGCUUUGCAGUCUGAGCAGUGACUGUGGAGAUUAACCAUGCAGGCCACAAGU